This is a long non-coding RNA of Gasterosteus aculeatus aculeatus (three-spined stickleback), 865 nucleotides long. NCBI's taxonomy places the organism in Eukaryota, Metazoa, Chordata, Actinopteri, Perciformes, Gasterosteidae. The record is from Ensembl.
GACAGUCCGUGGGACAGUAGGAGACAGUCUGUGGGACAGUGUGUGAGACAGUAGGAGACAGUCUGUGGGACAGUGUGUGAGACAGUCUGUGGGACAGUGUGUGAGACAGUCUGUGGGACAGUGUGUGAGACAGUAGGAGACAGUCUGUGGGACAGUGUGUGAGACAGUCUGUGGGACAGUGUGUGAGACAGUAGGAGACAGUCUGUGGGACAGUGUGUGAGACAGUAGGAGACAGUCUGUGGGACAGUGUGUGAGACAGUAGGAGACAGUAGGAGACAGUCUGUGGGACAGUGUGUGAGACAGUAGGAGACAGUCUGUGGGACAGUGUGUGAGACAGUAGGAGACAGUCUGUGGGACAGUGUGUGAGACAGUCUGUGGGACAGUGUGUGAGACAGUAGGAGACAGUCUGUGGGACAGUGUGUGAGACAGUCUGUGGGACAGUGUGUGGGACAGUGUGUGAGACAGUAGGAGACAGUCUGUGGGACAGUGUGUGAGACAGUAGGAGACAGUCUGUGGGACAGUGUGUGAGACAGUAGGAGACAGUCUGUGGGACAGUGUGUGAGACAGUAGGAGACAGUCUGUGGGACAGUGUGAGACAGUCUGUGGGACAGUGUGUGGGACAGUGUGUGAGACAGUAGGAGACAGUCUGUGGGACAGUAGGAGACAGUCUGUGGGACAGUGUGAGACAGUCUGUGGGACAGUGUGUGAGACAGUCUGUGGGACAGUGUGUGAGACAGUAGGAGACAGUCUGUGGGACAGUGUGAGACAGUCUGUGGGACAGUAGGAGACAGUCUGUGGGACAGUGUGUGAGACAGUAGGAGACAGUCUGUGGGACAGUGUGUGAGACAGUAGGAGACAGUGUGUG